RNAcentral lists this ribosomal RNA (256 nucleotides) under uncultured bacterium. RNAcentral's name for it is "partial 16S ribosomal RNA". It matches the Rfam family "Bacterial small subunit ribosomal RNA", at positions 524 to 776 of the family's 1533-position model. The record is from RNAcentral.
UACGGGGGGGGCAAGCAGUGUUGUCGGAUUUACUGGGCGUAAAGGGCGCGUAGGCGGCCAGCACAAGUCAGUUGUGAAAUCUCCGAGCUUAACUCGGAAAGGUCAACUGAUACUGUGCGGCUAGAGUGCAGAAGGGGCAACUGGAAUUCUUGGUGUAGCGGUGAAAUGCGUAGAUAUCAAGAGGAACACCUGCGGCGAAGGCGGGUUGCUGGGCUGACACUGACGCUGAAGCGCGAAAGCGUGGGUAGCAAACAGG